This 429-nucleotide long non-coding RNA is filed under the name Scleropages formosus (Asian bonytongue). RNAcentral describes it as "lncRNA (ENSSFOG00015027174.1)". Lineage: Eukaryota; Metazoa; Chordata; Actinopteri; Osteoglossiformes; Osteoglossidae. The record is from RNAcentral.
GGCGUUUCUCUUCAUUUUACUAUGGUUUUGAUUCUCAUUGAAUGAUCUUAUAUCUCAAAGGAAAGCCAAACGAGAUGAGACUGUAGCCAAUUUCAGGAAAACAGAGAAUCUUGUACCAGAGGAUCUUCUAAGGUGAGCAUUCAACAUUAUCCCAGUAACAACAGAAACUAAGCUGCAGAAAUACAGUGUGGGUACGUACUUUUUUUUCUCUUUUGAAGAGCAGUCGGGCUUUACCGGAAUGAUCCGCAAGCCUCUGACCAUUGAUUUAAGUGUCUCCAUUGUUCAGGAGAGCUUUCGUCAAGAUGAGCACAUCACCAGAGGCCUUCCUUUUCUUGAAAUUGGCUACAGUCUCAUCUCGUUUGGCUUUCCUUUGAGAUAUAAGAUCAUUCAAUGAGAAUCAAAACCAUAGUAAAAUGAAGAGAAACGCCA